This 1539-nucleotide ribosomal RNA is filed under the name Triticum aestivum (bread wheat). RNAcentral's name for it is "partial small subunit ribosomal RNA". The record is from RNAcentral. Lineage: Eukaryota; Viridiplantae; Streptophyta; Magnoliopsida; Poales; Poaceae.
AUGACUAAUCUUCCACCUCGCAAAAUGCAGUCGAAGUCAGAAGUUGGUAGUGGAGACAUGCUGCCUAGCGAUAUACAAGCUUGUAACGGGGACAGGCUAAGUGAGCUGCCUGCCGAUGUGCUGCUCAACAUUCUGGAGAGGGUUGGUACGCUUGAUGCAGUAAAAACUUGCAUACUUUCGAGGAAAAUGCAGAAGCUGCCAAUUAUGCUCUCGCAGAUCGUUAUUGAUCUCAGCCCUCGUGAUUUGUUUCGAAAAAGUGAUGUCGUGGCUGAUGUGACCAACAAGAUUCUUAGCAGGAGGCCUCCACGGAUCACCAUUCGCAAGCUGAAGCUCAAAUUUGUCUUGAGUCCUUCUCGCUGCCUUUCCAUCGGCAAAUCCAUUGGCCUCGCCAUGGCAACUCAGAAAUUUGAUGCAGCUGAGUUUGAGAUCAUGACGCCGGUGGAUUUCCAUCUUUGCACUGAUGCCUAUCGCCUCCUCUUUGCUGAGCAGUUCAAUAAUUUUGUUCGUGAUUGUCCAGAUGCAUUUGCUGGUCUCAUGCGGCUGCAUCUACGAAAUAUGAGGUUUGGUGAAUCAGACAUACCCAACAUCCUAAGCAAUUGCAAGCGACUGGAGUCACUGUCUUUCUUCAUGUGUGGUGUGGGGAUCAGUUCGGUUCUGCAUGUGGAACACACUCAACUCGUCGAGCUUGUUAUGUCCUAUUGUGUAUUCAAAACAGUGGAGCUCACCUCUCUACCAAAGCUCCAAAGGAUGACCUUUGGUGAUUGGCCCUGUGAUGAAAAUCCGUUGGUUCUUGGUUUUGUCCCUCAGCUUUCCAAGCUCAGUCUUGCUAACCCAAACUUUUCAGGCAAGACCCACAACUUAAGCAAGCUGCUUGCUGAUGCCCCUACUGUAAACGAUUUGUUUCUCGAGUUUCGAAGUGAAAAGAUUUGGGUUCAACCAGAAUGCCCGAAAGUGCUUGCUCCUGUUCUCGCCAAAUUACGGUUUGUGAAUCUGGAUCACCUUCCCGAAGAAUGUGAUAUAUCUUGGACAAUGUUCCUUCUUGAAGCUGCACCGUCGGUAGAGGACCUUUGCAUCACAGUAUGGGAUCAUAAGUGCCGAAAGAAGUCACACGAGAGUUACUCCAGGAAAACAGAUGUGAAGUGGGAGGCAUCUGAUCCUGAUUUUAAGCACAAGAAUCUGGCGAGGCUAACUAUUUACGGCUUCCAGUCCGAUGACAAUUUCACAAGAUACGUCAGGCGUGUUAUUCAAGCUGCGGUGAAUAUCAGGAAGGUAUCUCUGCACGACAGGAAGACGCAAGCUUUGCUGGAUGAAGAAAAUGCACGUGGAGAACGGCAGAGUCCCUGUCCGCGGUCUUGCCGUAAGAGUACGGGCUGCUGCACAGUGGUCUGUUCAAUCCCAGCGGCCAGCGAGAGCAGUCCAUUUGGGAAUGCUUUGCUGAAGAUUUGCAACGCUCGAUCAGUUCAUCAUCGAUCUUUGCACUCGGGUUUUUUUACCGCAAGAUGUAGAUGGCCUGAUGUGGGGUUAGCGUCUUCAAACUGA